AAGGCCUUAGCUUAAUUAAAGUGUCUGAGUUGCAAUCAGAAGAUGUAGUUAUUAUACAGGCCUUC
Molecule: transfer RNA, 65 nt
Filed under: Stenodactylus slevini
Lineage: Eukaryota; Metazoa; Chordata; Lepidosauria; Squamata; Gekkonidae
Description: tRNA-Ala
Rfam family: tRNA
About the family: Transfer RNA (tRNA) molecules are approximately 80 nucleotides in length. Their secondary structure includes four short double-helical elements and three loops (D, anti-codon, and T loops). Further hydrogen bonds mediate the characteristic L-shaped molecular structure. tRNAs have two regions of fundamental functional importance: the anti-codon, which is responsible for specific mRNA codon recognition, and the 3' end, to which the tRNAs corresponding amino acid is attached (by aminoacyl-tRNA synthetases). tRNAs cope with the degeneracy of the genetic code in two manners: having more than one tRNA (with a specific anti-codon) for a particular amino acid; and 'wobble' base-pairing, i.e. permitting non-standard base-pairing at the 3rd anti-codon position.
Source: RNAcentral